Molecule: long non-coding RNA, 2856 nt
Organism: Xyrauchen texanus (razorback sucker)
Lineage: Eukaryota; Metazoa; Chordata; Actinopteri; Cypriniformes; Catostomidae
Exons: 3
Source: RefSeq, a predicted model, not a curated record
CGCUGUUCACCACGGAGGUGCUGAGAAGUGACAAUGCAAAGCUCACAGUCUAUCAGUGCAAAAGAAGGAAAGUACUGUCCACACAGCUGUUGCCAUCACAAGUGGCCAAAAGGAUAAACCAUUCGCCUUAUUCACCUCGAACGUUCCACCGAGCCUGAGGGGUACACUUACCACUUCCGGUAGUUCUCACAACGCGAUUUCUCUCAGUGCAAUGGCACCUCACUGCUGUGUUCCCCGAUGCACUUCAUCACACAGGAAAAAGUCCAACAGAGGACAAACGUUUCACCGUUUCCCCAAAGAUCCUGGACUACAUCGACAAUGGAUAAUAAACAUCAGAAGGGAUCCUGGUCGUAAUUUUAAGUAAUGUUUCCACGGAGCUCGAUGAUCGACAUGGUGUGAAUGUGUUGAGUGAAGAGACACCACCUCCGCACCCAGACCAUGAAUAUGCUGCACUGCCUCCCUCACUUCAAGAUCAACUUGAGGAAGCUCGCAAGACCAUCGGUGAUCAAGAACUUUUAAUUUUAGAGCUUCAACAAAAACAGUUUUUGAUUUCGAAUUUUCAAGGUGACGAUAAACAGAUUUCAUUUUAUACAGGGUUCCCAGAUUAUGAUACAUUUAAAGCUGUGUUUAUGGCCCUGCAACCUACUGCAGAAAAUAUGGUGGGAUGGAGUCAGGCUCAGCGACUUAAACAUACAAGUGGGGAUGUACUUCGUCAAGGCUUUAGCGCCUCUAAAUUGUCCACUAUGGACCAGUUUUUUCUUUGUAGGUUGAGGCAGGGAUUUCCUGAGCAGGAUCUUGAAACCCGUUUCCAUGUAUCGCAGUCAACAGUAAGCAGGAUCUGUGUGACCUGGGUCAAUUUUUUGUAUUUUAUGUUGGGAUCACUUCCAAUGUGGCCUUCAAGGAAACCUGUGGAUGAACUUAUGCCAGAUUGUUUUAAAUGCACGUUCCCGGCUACUAGAGUUAUAUUGGAUUGCACAGAAAUUCAUGUACAGAAACCUAGCUCCAAGGUACUUAACUCAGCGAUUUAUUCACACUACAAAGGUAACACCACAUUUAAGGGCCUAAUAGGCAUUGCCCCCUCAGGUGAAGUGACUUUUGUCAGUGAUUUAUAUACAGUAGGGCUGGGACAACGCGUAGACGUCAUCGAUGACGUCGACGCAAAAAAUAUGUAGACGCAAAAUAUGCGCGUCGAUUCGUCAGACCCAAAACAAAGAUGGUGGCGCCGGCAAGUAGUAGCAACACGAGUGGCUCCUCAGACUAUCAGAAGUGCAAGGCGGCAUGCACUCGUUCCUCUAAAGUAUGGGAAUUCUUUAAUUUAAAAGGAAACAAUUCCGUGAUAUGUCGUCUUUGCAAAAUGGAGAUGGCCUUCCAUUCUAGCGCUACGGCAAUGCACCAGCACCUUAAGAGGCGCCACCCGGUUGCAGCUGCAGAUGACAGAGCACCGUAAGUUUUUUUUUCAACUCCCCACUUUGCACUCGAUGUUGGAGUAGGCUAUAGUACGUUGUCGACACCUAAAGUUUUCGCUUAUAGCUAUUAAUAAAGCGCUUAUAGCUAUGAAUGUCGUGAAAAAUACAUAGAGGACACAGACAACGCGCUGACAGACAGGACCAAGCAGGUAACAUUUAAUAAAGUCUCAACUUUCAAAUUUGGUCAUUCAAAGAAAAUUAAACCAUAAAUAGGCCUACUAUUUUGUGGCUCUUUAAUGUGUCGUGACAGAUUGCCUCAGUUAAAGCUGCUCGUGAACCGAUCAUCUUUUCCUUGGUUAAUUAAAUAGGCUAAACAUGAAUGUAGCCUACAUCAGAAGGACUGUUGUUUUAACCACGGAAAGAUGUCAGUACGGUAGCCUACAAUCCAUUAUUCAAAUUCAAAUCCACCUACGUUAAUCUUCUCUCUCCUGACUACUUUGUCGGACAAAAAUGGAGUAUUAUGAUUGAUUGAUCAGAUCGCCUGUCAAUCAAACUCCCGGCAAAUGUUUUUUUUUUUUACAUUUUAUACACCCCACCCCCGAUGAAACCGGUAUUACCAGUGUUGUCACAAGUCGAAUCGAAAUCGAAUCGGACUGAAAAAACUAAUCGUUAGAUUAAUCGAUGCAUCGAAAAUAAUAAUCGCUAGAUUAAUCGUUUAAAAAAUAAUCGUUUAUCCCAGCCCUAAUAUACAGGUUCAAUAUCUGACAAAGAAAUUACCAAAAAAUCAGGUAUCCUUUCUGUUCUCGAAGGAGAUAUGGUAAUGGCCGAUAAAGGCUUUCUCAUCAAGGACCCUCUCGCUGAAAUACAGUUCUCCCUUGUAAUCCCUCCUUUUUUAGGCCCAAGUGGACACUUCACUGCAGACGAAGUACGAAAGACUCAAGCGAUAGCAAGACUGCGAAUUCAUGUAGAGCGCGCUAUUAGGCGGAUUAAAGAGUACCAUAUUUUUGAUAAAGUCUUACCCAUGACACUGGUGGGCUCCGUUAACCAACUGUGGGCCGUCUGUGCCCUCUUAACUAAUUUUCAAAGUCCUCUCUUUUAAAAUUGUAAUGUUAAUGUAAAUAUCUACCAAUGUUAUAUAAAUCUCUACAACUGAAAUCUUAAAAUCUACAAAUGUAUUCAAACCUUGAAUAGAAAGUUUUCAUCUUUACGAAUCUGAACAAAGCCUUAAUCAUUAUUGUUCUUCUUUAUGAAUCUGUACAAAGCCUUAAUCAUUAUUGUUCUUCUUUAUGAAUCUGUACAAAGCCUUAACCAUCAUUGUUCUUCUUUAUGAAUCUAUACAUAUGUGAACUUGUAUUGUUAACAUAGCACCUUAUCAUGGUCAGUGUAUCACAGGAUCAGUCCCUAUAAUCACUUCUCAUGCUCUUUACUUUUACAUACCUGUGAGUGAUUU